UAACGUGACACACAUUUUGUGCAGGAAAACAACUUUUAUUUAUGAUUCUUCAAUUUAUGAACAAUCUGUAUGAGUUUUGAACACUUUGCAGUUUAGCACAAAAACACAACUUAUGGUGAUCAUAGUGAAAGAGUGGCGACCAUAUGGACAGAUGCAGUGGACAAUUGGAGACAACUGCGUUUAACAAAACAUUAAAGGACAUUUAAAAGUAACUGAAAGGGAAUACUGUUUGGGCAGUUAGGGUGGGAAUCUCUUGGCACCUUAAGAUUCUAUUUGAUUACAGUCCAGAGGGCGGUGAUCCAUCUUGAUGCAUCUUUUCUGUGAUUUCAGGAUAAUUACUAAGCAUUUAAUUUGCGCAUUAAAAAGAAAUGUCUCCUCAAUUGCUUAACUAGCCUCAGCUCCUCCGUUUUCACCAGCGUCCUUCCUUUAACAACCAGUUGUCACUCCUCUAGAAAUGAAAUAUAAUUUAACUUAACUAUCAGGAUGUAACAUUACAGUCUGUGUAUAGGACACCAGUUUAAAGCCCACAAACAUUAAAGAGCUGUGCAAACUUCUGGGUUUCCUGGGGUACUAUAGAAGUUAUGUACAAGAUUUCUCCCGUCAUGCAAAACACCUGUAUGACUUACUCUCAACAGAUUGAACUUCAAGCCCAGUCUAAAUGUCAGUCAGCAAGGGCAGGAUAGCCCCUCCACAUCAGAAAAUAGUGUGGACUGACAGUCAUCGGACUAUCUAGUUGACAUUCUGACUAACCAAGCAGUAAUGGCUUACCCAAGGUUUGAGGAUUCAUUCAUUCUGCAUAUUGACGCUUCAGAACAAGGACUGGGAGCAGUUCUGUACCAGAGACAGGAAGACAAAAUCAGAGUUAUCGGGUACGGCUCACGAAAUUCGACACCAGCAGGAAAAAACUAUUGAUUACAUUUAGGGAAGCUGGAGUUUUUGGCACUUAAGUGGGCUGUGAAAGACAGGUUUAGAGACUAUUUGUUUUACGAUCCCUCUGUAACAUUAUACAGUGUUAACAACCCUGUCACUUAUGUCUUGAGCACAGCUAAACAGAACUCAACUGGAUAUCGCAAGGUGUUGGAGCUGGCCGACUACCGUCCACGAAAAACAAACGCAGAUUUGGACUCUUAUAUGAGCGAGUGUACAAAGUGGACUGGAUUUCAGCCAUUACCUGCAGCCCACAUGUUCAGAAGCAGGUCGAUCAGCCUCCACCUCCAUCACUGGUGUCAUCCAAGAAGCUGACAAUGCUGGUCUACCUGUGCCUACUGAAGUGGAGAGUGGUACCAUCGUGCUUACUACCACACCUGGCUCUCCAGUUUCUACUCCUCCAGUGGAUCCAGCUGGCUGGCCAUCAGUCCUUAAGGACCAGUUACACGCUGAUGUGGUGAACAGUAAAACCGACACAGGUUGGCCGAGACAUUUUGACUUUUCCAAAAAGACACUCAGACAGUUAAAGUCUUUUCUAUCAUUACAUUACAUUUAGAUCGCUCAUGAAUAAGCUGAUUCAGAAGAAUGAUGCUAUCAACUGUUUUGUAGUUUUUAUCUCCUAAACUCUUGUUUGGCUGUUAUUAAAAACAUAAUCUUUG
Micropterus dolomieu (smallmouth bass) is the source of this 1586-nucleotide long non-coding RNA. RefSeq lists it as uncharacterized. NCBI's taxonomy places the organism in Eukaryota, Metazoa, Chordata, Actinopteri, Centrarchiformes, Centrarchidae. The transcript has 3 exons. The record is from RefSeq and is a predicted model, not a curated record.